This 428-nucleotide ribosomal RNA is filed under the name uncultured Gram-positive bacterium. RNAcentral's name for it is "bacterial SSU rRNA". It matches the Rfam family "Bacterial small subunit ribosomal RNA", at positions 57 to 479 of the family's 1533-position model. The record is from RNAcentral.
GCAAGUCGAGCGGAACUUUGGGAGCUUGCUCCCAUUGUUUAGCGGCGGACGGGUGAGUAACACGUGGGCAACGUGCCCUGCAGAUCGGGAUAACUCCGGGAACCCGGUGCUAAUACCGAAUAGUUUUUUGCCCCUCCUGGGGCGAAACGGAAAGACGGUUUCGGCUGUCACUGCAGGAUGGGCCCGCGGCGCAUUAGCUAGUUGGUGAGGUAAUGGCUCACCAAGGCGACGAUGCGUAGCCGACCUGAGAGGGUGAUCGGCCACACUGGGACAUGAGACACCGGCCCAGACUCCUACGGGAGGCAGCAGUAGGGAAUCUUCCGCAAUGGACGAAAGUCUGACGGAGCAACGCCGCGUGAGUGCGAAGGUUUUCGGAUCGUAAAACUCUGUUGUAAGGGAAGAACACAUGCCAUUUAGCUGAUGGCAUC